GCGGAUCUCGAAAGCCUGUCCCAGUUCGGACUGGAGUCUGCAACCCGACUCCACGAAGUUGGAUUCGCUAGUAAUCGCGCAUCAGCCAUGGCGCGGUGAAUACGUUCCCGGGCCUUGUACACACCGCCCGUCAAGCCAUGGGAGGCCGGGGGCGCCUGAAGUCCGGGACCGCGAGGACCGGCCUAGGGCGAAACUGGUAACUGGGGCUAAGUCGUAACAAGGUACC
This 226-nucleotide ribosomal RNA is filed under the name uncultured bacterium. RNAcentral's name for it is "partial 16S ribosomal RNA". It matches the Rfam family "Bacterial small subunit ribosomal RNA", at positions 1267 to 1500 of the family's 1533-position model. The record is from RNAcentral.